RNAcentral lists this ribosomal RNA (605 nucleotides) under Echinococcus granulosus. Its description in RNAcentral is "partial 16S ribosomal RNA". The stretch from base 388 to 540 matches the Rfam family "Archaeal large subunit ribosomal RNA", at positions 1887 to 2086 of the family's 2987-position model. Lineage: Eukaryota; Metazoa; Platyhelminthes; Cestoda; Cyclophyllidea; Taeniidae. The record is from RNAcentral.
CAUGCUUAACGGAGUUUUUUAAAGUAUGUUUUUGUACCGAAAGGUUUUGAUCUUAGAUUUAGUUGUUUAGAAGUGUUGUUUGGUCUGGGUAAGGUCUUGUAAACUAAAUUUAUGUGGUGAUAAGUGAGUCGUAAAGCUUUAUAACUGUUUGGUUGUUUAGAAUUUAGUGGGAUGUAGGUGGCUAUUAGGUCAUUUAUAUUUUUAUACAUUUGGUGAUGUGUGGUUUUUGAUAAGGUUAGAGGUACCUAGUUUUUGUUAUAUUGUUGUAAAUAUGGUUUUGUUGGUUUAUUGGUAUGUUAAUUGUUUGAACAACUGUUUUGCUAUAUUUGGUUAUUAUAUUAUCGUUGAAUAAGUAAUUUUAUUAUGCUAUUUAUUUCUUGAGUUCUUUCCGUCUGUUUAUUAAAAACAUUUCUAAUUUUAAUUGUAGUUAGUAGUGCCUGCCCAAUGUUGGUUAAUUAAUGGCCGCAGUAUAUUGACUGUGCAAAGGUAGCAUAAUUAAUUGCCUUUUAAUUGGAGGCUUGUUUGAAUGGUUUGACGUGAUUGGUAUGAAUAUUUGGUAUUUAGUUGAAAUUGAUUUUGAGGGUUUAGAAUCCUUAAUGUUUAAU